Molecule: ribosomal RNA, 245 nt
Filed under: uncultured bacterium
Lineage: Bacteria
Description: partial 16S ribosomal RNA
Rfam family: Bacterial small subunit ribosomal RNA
Source: RNAcentral
UACGAGGACCCCGAGCGUUAUCCGGAAUAACUGGGCGUAAAGCGUGAGCAUCCGGUUUUGCUAGUCUCAUGUUAAAUUUCAUUGCUCAACGAUGAAACCGCGUGGGAAACGGCAAGACUAGUCGGUGUGAGAGGCAAGCGGAACGUGCAGUGUAGGGGUGAAAUCCAUUGAUAUUGCACGGAACACCAAAAGCGAAAGCAGCUUGCUAGCGCACUCGAGACGGUCAAUCACUAAAGCGUGGGGAU